Molecule: ribosomal RNA, 295 nt
Filed under: uncultured bacterium
Lineage: Bacteria
Description: partial 16S ribosomal RNA
Rfam family: Bacterial small subunit ribosomal RNA
Source: RNAcentral
GUGCCUAACACAUGCAAGUCGAGCGAGAAAGGGGGGGCAACUCCCUGAGUAAAGCGGCGCACGGGUGAGUAACACGUGGGUAAUCUGCCCUGGAGUGGGGAAAAACAUCGGGAAACCGGUGCUAAUACCGCAUACGAUCACGAUGUCUGCGGAUGUUGUGAUGAAAGUGAGCAAUUCGCUCCAGGAGGAGCCCGCGGCUGAUUAGCUAGUUGGUGAGGUAACGGCUCACCAAGGCUACGAUCAGUAUCCGGUCUGAGAGGACGGUCGGACACACUGGAACUGAGACACGGUCCAG